RNAcentral lists this ribosomal RNA (615 nucleotides) under Macrolycus guangxiensis. RNAcentral's name for it is "partial 16S large subunit ribosomal RNA". The stretch from base 389 to 547 matches the Rfam family "Bacterial large subunit ribosomal RNA", at positions 2473 to 2632 of the family's 2925-position model. The record is from RNAcentral. Lineage: Eukaryota; Metazoa; Arthropoda; Insecta; Coleoptera; Lycidae.
UUAACAAAAACAUGUCCUUUUGAUUUUUAUUUAAGGUCUAAUCUGCUCAAUGAUAUUUAAAUUGCCGCAGUAUUUUAACUGUGCGAAGGUAGCAUAAUAAUUAGUUUCUUAAUUAGGAGCUGGAAUGAAUGAUUGGACGAGAAAAUUUCUGUCUCAUUUUAAUGUUUUAUUGAAUUUUAUUUUUAAGUUAAAAAGCUUAAAUUUUUAUAAAAGACGAGAAGACCCUAUAGAGUUUAAUAUUAAAAUUUAAUAAUAUUUUAGAAACCAAUUUUAGUUUUUAGUAUUUAGUUGGGGUUACUUGGAGAUUUACUAAAUUCUCUAAAUUUUUAAUUGAUGAUAUUUAAUUUUUUAAUCUAUAAAUUAUAAAUUUAAAAUUAAUUACCUUAGGGAUAACAGCGUAAUUUUUCUUGGAAGUUCUUAUUUAAAGAAGAUUUUGCGACCUCGAUGUUGGAUUAAAAUAAAUUUUUGGUGCAGUUACUUAAAAAUUAGGUCUGUUCGACCUUUAAAAUUUUACAUGAUCUGAGUUUAAACCGGUGUAAGCCAGGUUGGAUUCUAUCUUUAGAAAAUUAAUACAUUUUAGUACGAAAGGACCAAGUGUUUAUUAUAUAUUAAUUG